UCCUACGGGAGGCAGCAGUCGAGAAUAAUUCACAAUGGGGGCAACCCUGAUGGUGCAACGCCGCGUGGAGGAUGAAGGUCUUCGGAUUGUAAACUCCUGUCAUCCGGGAGCAAGACCUGACGGUGAAUAGCCGGCAGGGUUGAUAGUACCGGAAGAGGAAGGGACGGCUAACUUCGUGCCAGCAGCCGCGGUAAUACGAAGGUCCCGAGCGUUGUUCGGAAUCACUGGGCGUAAAGGGAGCGUAGGCGGUUUGGUAAGUCAGAUGUGAAAUCCCGGGGCUCAACCCCGGAACUGCAUCCGAUACUGCCGGACUUGAGUUUUGGAGAGGUAGCUGGAAUUCACGGUGUAGCAGUGAAAUGCGUGGAUAUCGUGAGGAACACUCGUGGCGAAAGCGAGCUACUGGACAACAACUGACGCUGAGGCUCGAAGGCCAGGGGAGCGAAAGGGAUUAGAUACCCGGGUAU
This 464-nucleotide ribosomal RNA is filed under the name uncultured bacterium. RNAcentral describes it as "bacterial SSU rRNA". It matches the Rfam family "Bacterial small subunit ribosomal RNA", at positions 337 to 793 of the family's 1533-position model. The record is from RNAcentral.